This 75-nucleotide transfer RNA is filed under the name Caulifigura coniformis. RNAcentral's name for it is "Planctomycetes bacterium Pan44 tRNA-Val". It matches the Rfam family "tRNA". Rfam says of the family: Transfer RNA (tRNA) molecules are approximately 80 nucleotides in length. Their secondary structure includes four short double-helical elements and three loops (D, anti-codon, and T loops). Further hydrogen bonds mediate the characteristic L-shaped molecular structure. tRNAs have two regions of fundamental functional importance: the anti-codon, which is responsible for specific mRNA codon recognition, and the 3' end, to which the tRNAs corresponding amino acid is attached (by aminoacyl-tRNA synthetases). tRNAs cope with the degeneracy of the genetic code in two manners: having more than one tRNA (with a specific anti-codon) for a particular amino acid; and 'wobble' base-pairing, i.e. permitting non-standard base-pairing at the 3rd anti-codon position. Lineage: Bacteria; Pseudomonadati; Planctomycetota; Planctomycetia; Planctomycetales; Planctomycetaceae. The record is from RNAcentral.
GGCCCCGUAGCUCAGCUGGUUAGAGCGUCUGUCUUACACACAGAAGGCCGUCUGUUCGAAUCAGACCGGGGCCAC